CUUUUUAUUUUUCCUUUUUCCAAAUAUUCUUCUAAAUCAAGUACAUGAAUCAGGAUAUUUGAUCCAAUUUGAACUAAAGUCUUUUGAGGAGCUAAUGGUGUGGUGAGAACUUAGAAAAUGGCCUGGGCAUAUCUGAUUAAAAGGUGGCAAUGAUAAUGAAUACACUAGUUGCAGUUUCAAUAGAGUGAGAAUUAUGAUUGCAUAUUGUCAUCCUCCAAAAAAAAUUUCACAUAACUAUGAGAUUCUCUAUGCUCGAUAGUUGCUAUUGGGCGGCAAGGAAUGUCAAUUUAAUGUGGUAAUGCAACGGCAAGGAAUGUCAAUUUAAUGUGGUAAUGCAAUCUCA
Prunus avium (sweet cherry) is the source of this 343-nucleotide non-coding RNA. The record is from RefSeq and is a predicted model, not a curated record. Lineage: Eukaryota; Viridiplantae; Streptophyta; Magnoliopsida; Rosales; Rosaceae.